CUCAGCAUGUGUCUGCAUAUGUGCAUGUGAUGGUUAAUACUGAGUGUCAACUUGAUUGGAUUGAAGGAUGCAAAGUAUUGAGCGUGGGUGUGUCUGUGAGGGUGUUGCCAAAGGAGAUUAACAUUUGAGUUAGUGGACUGGGGAAGGCAGACCCACCUUUAAUCUGGGUGGGCACCAUCUAAUCGGCUGGCAGUGUGGCUAGAAUAUAAAGUAGGCAGAAAAACGUGAAAAGGCUAGACUUGCCCAGCCUCCCAGCCUACAUCUUUCUCUUAUGCCAGAUGCUUCUUGACCUUUAACAUUGGACUCCAAGUUCUUCAGUUUUCGGUCUCAGACUGGAUUUCCUUGCUCCUGAGCUUGCAGACAGCCCACUGUGGGACCUUGUGACCUUGUGAUCAUACAGGGCCUCACUGUGCCAUCCAGGCUGGUGUGCAAUGGCACGAUUUCUGCUCACUGCAACCUCCACCUCGCCAGCUCAAGUGAUCCUCCCACUUCAGCCUACUGAGUAGCUGAGACUACAGGCCUGUGCCACCACACCACGCUAAUUUUUCAUACAUUUUUGUAGAGGCAAGAUAUUGCAAUAUUACCCAGGCAGGUCUGGAAAUCCUGAGCUCAAGUAAUCGGCCCGUCUCAGCCUCCCAAAGUGCUGGAACUACAGGCAUGAGCCACCGCGCCUGGCCUCUGUUUCUUUUUAAUAUUAGUGUUAAUAUAGUAAAAUUUAGGUGAAUCAAUCACUUUUUUCUUAAGAACUGUAUUGAUAUAUUACAUCAUUCUUUACAAAUAAAGACAGCUUUUUUUUCUACUUAAAGAUUUUUGCAUGUCACCAUAAUCAGAGUUCUAUAUAAGUUCCGUUGCAAGAAACAGAAAUAUAAUUGACCCUUCUACAAGGACUGUUCAUUGGCUAAGCCGAUAAGUUUUCAGAAAGUUUCUCGCUAUUGUGAUUUUCAAGAGACAUGGGAAGAUAAAAGAAUGGUAGGGUACAGUAAUGCCUUACACAUAUUCAAAACUUAAUCGAGAAGAUAUGACAUAAAUAAAGGCAGAAAAUGGUGAACUAGUUAUAUGACUGUCUUUAUAAGAAAAACGUAAAUAGAGCCAGGGUGGCUGGAUCCACUUUCUCUUGUUGCCGUAACAUUUGCCUCCAUUCUCACAGUGGCAGCAUCCCCACCAAUGUACUGGUGCCUCUGCAACUUCUCAGUUGCUCUUAUUUCAAAUAUCUGACAUUUAAAAAGAGCACUUAAAAAUAUCAACGCAAAAUGUGAUUUAUAUCUCUGCAGCGAAUCAGAACAACCUCAUAUGUCUCUUGCUCAGGCAAAUGGUCUUGGUUCACUGGUCUUCUAAAAUGAUAUAAAUGAUACCUGUCUUUUCUCUGCUUUGGGGAGGGUGGUUGAAAUUCCAUGCCAAUUUAUACACUGCUGUCAACGCUUCUGCCUUUUAAUGAUAUCUCUU
This 1443-nucleotide long non-coding RNA is filed under the name Homo sapiens (human). Its description in RNAcentral is "HSALNT0083886". The record is from RNAcentral. Lineage: Eukaryota; Metazoa; Chordata; Mammalia; Primates; Hominidae.